AUGCUCUCUUUUGGUGAUCACAAUAUGAUAUGGGGUAUCAAGACAUUAUCAUGGGAAUUUGAAAGCAAUUUAUCAUUCAUAUUUAUCAAACUUUCAUGGAAAAUCUCAAAUCACAUAUGCAUGGUUUCAACCAUUGAAGUAUAUAGGCAAACAAUUCCCAUGACAUAAAGAAAAAUGACUUAGAAAUCAUAUUGAAAGCAAGUUAUUAGCAUUUGAUUGAAAACCCCCAUUUAAAAGCAUGCAUGUUCAUA
RNAcentral lists this long non-coding RNA (251 nucleotides) under Capsicum annuum. RNAcentral describes it as "long non-coding RNA (CANN_LNC019873)". The record is from RNAcentral. Lineage: Eukaryota; Viridiplantae; Streptophyta; Magnoliopsida; Solanales; Solanaceae.